Molecule: ribosomal RNA, 849 nt
Filed under: uncultured archaeon
Lineage: Archaea
Description: bacterial SSU rRNA
Rfam family: Archaeal small subunit ribosomal RNA
Source: RNAcentral
AUGCGAGUCAAGGGGCUCUUCGGAGCACCGGCGUACGGCUCAGUAACAUGUGGGUAACCUACCCUCAGGUGGGAGAUAACCUCGGGAAACUGAGGCUAAUAUCCCAUAGAUAAAAGAUACUGGAAUGUUUUUUUAUCGAAAACUCUUGUGCCUGAGGAUGGGCCUGCGUCCGAUUAGGUUGUUGGUGAGGUAAUGGCUCACCAAGCCUACGAUCGGUACGGGUCGUGAGAGCGAUAGCCCGGAGAUGGGGACUGAGACAAGGCCCCAGGCCCUACGGGGCGCAGCAGGCGCGAAAUCUCUCCAAUGUGUGAAAACAUGAGAGGGGUAUUCCAAGUGCCCUUGUUUUGCAAGGGAUUUUCUUUGGUCCAAGACGCUGAAGGAAUAAGAGCUGGGUAAGACCGGUGCCAGCCGCCGCGGUAACACCGGCAGCUCGAGUGGUGGCCACUAUUAUUGGGCCUAAAGCGUUCGUAGCCGGGCAGGUAAGUGCUCUGGUAAAUCCCAUAACUUAAUUAUGGGGCUUCAGAACAUACUGCUUGCCUUGAGACCGGGAGAGGCUGGAGGUACUUUCGGGGUAGGGGUAGAAUCCUAUAAUCCCGAAGGGACCACCGGUGGCGAAGGCGUCCAGCCAGAACGGGUCUGACGGUGAGGGACGAAACCCAGGGGAGCGAGUCGGAUUAGAUACCCGGGUAGUCCUGGGCGUAAAUGAUGUGGGCUAGGUGCAAAGCUACCUAAGCGGUAGCUUGGUGCCGAUGGGAAGCCGUUAAGCCCACCGCCUGGGGAGUACGGUCGCAAGGCUGAAACUUAAAGGAAUUGGCGGGUGAGCACCACAAGGGGUGGAGGCUGCGGUUU